This is a long non-coding RNA of Homo sapiens (human), 328 nucleotides long. The record is from Ensembl. NCBI's taxonomy places the organism in Eukaryota, Metazoa, Chordata, Mammalia, Primates, Hominidae.
GACUGAGGUCAGGAUGGCUGUGGCUUCCGAGUGCCCUAUGGGACUCUCACCCUCUGAUAUGGUUUGGCUGUGUCCACACCCUACAAUUCAUCUUGAAUUGCAGCUCCCAUAAUUCCCACAUGUCGUGGGAAGGACCUGGUGGGAGUUCUAGCAUUCAUGUAGCUGUUAAAGAAUCUGCCAAUGCAGGAGAUCCAUGGACGGGAGUCCCACGGAGCUCUAAGUGACAUGGCUCACAGUGUGAACUCCAGACACGCUUUGCAGCUCAACUCCUACUGUUGAAUGGUUAGUUCUUUAUGUGAGUUUUAAGUGGCAUUAAAUCAAAUCGCUA